This 198-nucleotide ribosomal RNA is filed under the name uncultured bacterium. RNAcentral's name for it is "partial 16S ribosomal RNA". It matches the Rfam family "Bacterial small subunit ribosomal RNA", at positions 326 to 539 of the family's 1533-position model. The record is from RNAcentral.
ACGCUCGACACCUACGGUAGGCAGCAGUGGGGAAUAUUGCACAAUGGAGGAAACUCUGAUGCAGCGAUGCCGCGUGAGGGAAGAAGGUUUUCGGAUUGUAAACCUCUGUCUUUGGGGACGAUAAUGACGGUACCCAAGGAGGAAGCUCCGGCUAACUACGUGCCUGCAGCCGCGGUAAUCUGAGCGGGCUGGCAAGGC